GUGAAGAACGCAGCGAAAUGCGAUAAGUAAUGUGAAUUGCAGAAUUCAGUGAAUCAUCGAAUCUUUGAACGCACCUUGCACCCUUUGGCAUUCCGAAGGGUAUGCUCGUUUGAGUGUCAUUGUACUCUCACACUUCCAAUCUUUGGAUUGGGAGCAGUGGACUUGGGUGUUGCUGCUUACUGUGGCUCACCUCAAAUCGAUUCGUGCACCUCUUGGUUGGACAUAGUACGGCGUGAUAAGUGUCUUCGCCGGCACCUCAGUAGAGGGUGGCUGAUCAGGAGCUCUGUGCUUCAAACCGUCCUCGGACAAAAACUGACAACUUGACCUCAAAUCGAGUAGGACUACCCGCUGAACUUAAGCAUAUCAAUAAGCGGAGGA
This 378-nucleotide unclassified non-coding RNA is filed under the name soil metagenome. RNAcentral's name for it is "partial contains 5.8S ribosomal RNA, internal transcribed spacer 2, and large subunit ribosomal RNA". The stretch from base 2 to 119 matches the Rfam family "5.8S ribosomal RNA", at positions 37 to 154 of the family's 154-position model. The record is from RNAcentral.